RNAcentral lists this ribosomal RNA (492 nucleotides) under uncultured bacterium. RNAcentral's name for it is "partial 16S ribosomal RNA". It matches the Rfam family "Bacterial small subunit ribosomal RNA", at positions 29 to 507 of the family's 1533-position model. The record is from RNAcentral.
AGUGAACGCUGGCGGUAGGCCUAACACAUGCAAGUCGAACGGCAGCACAGUAAGAGCUUGCUCUUACGGGUGGCGAGUGGCGGACGGGUGAGGAAUACAUCGGAAUCUACUUUUUCGUGGGGGAUAACGUAGGGAAACUUACGCUAAUACCGCAUACGACCUACGGGUGAAAGCAGGGGAUCUUCGGACCUUGCGCGAUUGAAUGAGCCGAUGUCGGAUUAGCUAGUUGGCGGGGUAAAGGCCCACCAAGGCGACGAUCCGUAGCUGGUCUGAGAGGAUGAUCAGCCACACUGGAACUGAGACACGGUCCAGACUCCUACGGGAGGCAGCAGUGGGGAAUAUUGGACAAUGGGCGCAAGCCUGAUCCAGCCAUACCGCGUGGGUGAAGAAGGCCCUCGGGUUGUAAAGCCCUUUUGUUGGGAAAGAAAAGCAGCAGGUUAAUACCCCGCUGUUCUGACGGUACCCAAAGAAUAAGCACCGACUAACUUCGUG